GACGAACGCUGGCGGCGUGCUUAACACAUGCAAGUCGAACGGAAAGGCCGUGCUUUUGUGGGGUGCUCGAGUGGCGAACGGGUGAGUAACACGUGAGUAACCUGCCCUUGACUUUGGGAUAACUUCAGGUAACUGGGGCUAAUACCGUAUAGGAGCUCCUGCUGCAUGGUGGGGGUUGGUAAGUUUCGGCGGUUGGGGAUGUACUCGCGGCUUAUCAGCUUGUUGGUGGGGUAGUGGCUUACCAAGGCUUUGACGGGUAGCCGGCCUGUGAGGGUGACCGGAGAGAAUGGGAAUGAGAGACGGAACAGAAUGAUACGGGAGGCAGCAGGGGGGAAUAGUGCACAAUGGGAGGAAGCCUGAUGAAGAAAAGCAGCGUGCGGGAUGAAGGCAUAGGGGUUGAAAAACGAAUUGGACGGAGAAGAAGAGUGAGUGACGGUAAUGGGUAAAGAAGCAACGGCUAACUACGUG
RNAcentral lists this ribosomal RNA (468 nucleotides) under uncultured bacterium. RNAcentral's name for it is "partial 16S ribosomal RNA". It matches the Rfam family "Bacterial small subunit ribosomal RNA", at positions 28 to 507 of the family's 1533-position model. The record is from RNAcentral.